CCUACGGGGGGCAGCAGUGAGGAAUAUUGGUCAAUGGACGGAAGUCUGAACCAGCCAUGCCGCGUGCAGGAAGACGGCUCUAUGAGUUGUAAACUGCUUUUGUACAAGGGUAAACCUGAAUACGUGUAUUCAGCUGAAAGUACUGUACGAAUAAGGAUCGGCUAACUCCGUGCCAGCAGCCGCGGUAAUACGGAGGAUCCAAGCGUUAUCCGGAUUUAUUGGGUUUAAAGGGUGCGUAGGCGGAUUGAUAAGUUAGAGGUGAAAUGUCCGAGCUUAACUCGGGAACUGCCUCUAAUACUGUUGAU
This 305-nucleotide ribosomal RNA is filed under the name uncultured bacterium. Its description in RNAcentral is "bacterial SSU rRNA". It matches the Rfam family "Bacterial small subunit ribosomal RNA", at positions 338 to 640 of the family's 1533-position model. The record is from RNAcentral.